Molecule: long non-coding RNA, 596 nt
Organism: Pan troglodytes (chimpanzee)
Lineage: Eukaryota; Metazoa; Chordata; Mammalia; Primates; Hominidae
Exons: 2
Source: RefSeq, a predicted model, not a curated record
GAGUGCGGUGGUGCAAUCUCGGCUCACUGGAAGCUCCGCCUCCCGGGUUCACGCCAUUCUCCUGCCUCAGCCUCCUGAGUAGCUGGGACUACAGGCGCCCGCCACCGCACCCGGCUAAUUUUUUGUAUUUUUAGUAGAGAUGGGGUUUCACCGUGUUAGCCAGGAUGGUCUCAAUCUCCUGACCUCGUGAUUCGCCCACCUCGGCCUCCCAAAGUGCUGGGAUUACAGGCGUGAGCCACCGCGCCCAGCCGACAAAUGCUUUUAUGAUGUAAGAAUAUGAGAGAGCCAAAAAACAUUCAAAAACAACUUAACCUUUUUGGACUUAAUACCUUCACUAAUUGGUCAGAGACACCAACCUGAGAGCCUCUGGCUGUAGUGUGGCUCAGACAUGGGUAGCAUUCUGAAGUCAAUGUUGGGAACUUAUAAGGAGAUCUUUCCAUAUCAGGAUACAAACAGCUUCUUUAUUCUUCUGUACUGAUGGCUGUGUGCUAUCCCAUUGGAUGAAUGUACCAUAGUUCUGUUAACUAGCCCUCUACUGAUGGACUUUUCAGUAAUUUCCAGACUUUUAUAAUUACAAGCAAUUCUGCAAUGAAUAA